UACAGGGGGGGCAAGCGUUGUUCGGAAUUACUGGGCGUAAAGGGUCUGUAGGUGGCCAACUAAGUCAGACGUGAAAUCCCUCAGCUUAACUGGGGAACUGCGUCUGAUACUGGAUGGCUUGAGUGUGGGAGAGGAAUGCGGAAUUCCAGGUGUAGCGGUGAAAUGCGUAGAUAUCUGGAGGAACACCGGUGGCGAAGGCGGCAUUCUGGACCAUAACUGACACUGAGAGACGAAAGCCAGGGGGGCAAACGGG
Molecule: ribosomal RNA, 253 nt
Filed under: uncultured bacterium
Lineage: Bacteria
Description: partial 16S ribosomal RNA
Rfam family: Bacterial small subunit ribosomal RNA
Source: RNAcentral